CUCUAGAACUUUUCACUAGUGGGGAGCAACAAAACAUAUUAGAACUAACAAACUUACAAUGGACAUUUAAUAGUGGUUUUCCUUUCUAUUCUAUUUUUUAAAAUGUAAAUGGAGUAAAUGAUAAAAUGUAGACUGAAUUUAUCAUAAAGACAUUUUCUUUUGGUAUACUGCAAGGAACUAUGAACUUUUAGUAACUACUAUAAGCAACUGACAGGAAAAAAUGGCAACAGAAGAAGGAAAGAGGAGAGAAUGGGGAGCAGACACUAAGGUGUAGUGAAAGGAGGAAAAUGAAGGCUAAGUCUAAUGAUGUGAAUCCUCUUUGCAAUUCCAUCAAAGGAGGGAUCUUCCUACUGACCAGAAGACCUGAACAGCCUGAGAAUGAUUCCUUUCAACUCCGAGAGAAGAAGCUGCAGAUGAAGAGCAAUCCUGGGAUACAUGUGCAGAAUGUGCAGAAUGUGUACAUAGGUACACACUACCAUGGUGGUUUGCUGCACCCAUCAACUCGUCAUCUACAUUAGGAUACUGUUUACUGAAAACCCACCAAUCUGAUCUUUUAUGAGAAGCUAGUCCCUGAAAAGGCCCUUGGAUCAAAGGUCAAAAACUUGAAGCACAGAGUGGGAUGUCAGAUGCCAAGAUUUAAAUCUAGUCAUUUGAUUCCAGAGCCCACAUUCUUAAAUAAUAUGCUACACUGACCUUUAUUGUCUUUAAACAUUAUCUUUAUUUAAUGUGUUUCAUAGAAAUUACUUCUCAGGUAUUCCUAAAUUUAUUUUUAAAAAUAAUGUCAUGCUAUCACUAUAAUAUAGUUUUUUAAAUUAACUUGAGAGGUAAUGUAGUAUGAUCAACUUCCUUAAUGGCCUUUUAAACUGGAAAUAACUAUUAAAUAUUUUAAUAUUAUAAAUUAACAGGCAAAAUGGUGAAAAAUCUAACAUCUGGUUCUUAAAAGUAAGUUGAAAUAUAAGAUCAGAUUUGAAUGCACAUGGAAAAAUAGAACUGGCAAAUAAUGCCAUAUUUGAAGAUCUUUUAGUAUUCUCUGGUAUUUUUCCUUUCAUUUCAAAAUUGUUAUAUUCUUUUUAAUGACUUCAAAUGAAUUAGGAAAUGUCAGGCUUCUAAAAAUCAAACAGAACGUCCAACCAGUAGAUUUCAUUCAGGGCAGUGGGAGCCUGUUCGGUUGUUUCCUCUUUCCCCCUCACUUUUAAAAAUCCUCAAUCACUGCCAUUUCUCUUCUCAGCUUUCACAACACUUUACAGGCAGCUGAAUGAAAGGGCAGAAGCUUCCUCUGAAACUCCUGUUAUUUCAGCUCUAAAAUCAGCUGAAAAGGAUGCCCUCCCCAGAGACAGAAAUGCAUUCCCUCCAUCAUGAACCUGCAAUGCCCUCAGGUUGUGGCAAGGGAGAAGUUUAGCACUUGAACCUAGAUAACGCUAUUUUUUUAAUCAAAGUGCACCAUUCUUGUUUCAUAUGGCCUGUGGCACAAUUUAUUUAAAACAAUAUGGUGCAUCAAAGAAGGUAAACAAUAAUAACAAUAAUAAUAAUAUAGGAAUAGCAAUGUGCACAUAAAUAAUAUAGGAAAACACAUGGCCUCAGUACCUUCAUGAAAUGGGACUUCAAUAUACAUAUUUCUUAUACAGCUUUAUGCAUGACUUCAUUGCACUUCACUGCUCUGUUGUGUCACUCUACCAAUAAACCUAUACAUCAUACUGAGUGAAGUAUGUUCACAGUCCCUUUACUUGACAAAAAAAAAAAAAAAAAAAAAAAAAA
RNAcentral lists this long non-coding RNA (1755 nucleotides) under Homo sapiens (human). Its description in RNAcentral is "non-protein coding lnc-ZFHX4-2:11". Lineage: Eukaryota; Metazoa; Chordata; Mammalia; Primates; Hominidae. The record is from RNAcentral.